Anas platyrhynchos (mallard) is the source of this 3568-nucleotide long non-coding RNA. RefSeq lists it as uncharacterized. NCBI's taxonomy places the organism in Eukaryota, Metazoa, Chordata, Aves, Anseriformes, Anatidae. The record is from RefSeq and is a predicted model, not a curated record.
GUAAUGGCAGACAUCUAUAAGAUGUUGUUGCAGUGUGAUCAGUCAUCUUAAUCACACCGCUCUGUCUCUUGUCCCAAAUGGACUGGGGCUGACUGACAGAGGAAGAGGAAAUACAGCUUGGACGUAUGAAUCAUCCUUUUUUUUCCCAACAAAGGGGAAAGUCACUGACACAGCAUUAGUGCCAUAAGCUACUGAGCUGGUGAGCUGAAUCACAGAAUCAUCUAGGUCUCGAUGUCAUGUAGCAAAAUCCUAGCAUGUGCUCCAGACCAGCCACAUGUGUUUGAAUUAUGGGGACCCUCUCACCACCAUUAUUUAGUAAUAUGUUUUUAUGGCUAAUAUUAGUUUUGAAGAGUGACAUUAUUGAAUAUAUUCUGAAGACCUCUGAGAGUACUUUGAAGAUGCUGGGAUCAGCAGAAUCACUACUCCAAACUUUGCUGGUAUUUUCUUUGUAUUUAUAUAUUAUUUAUAUAAAUAAACAUUCGUAUUUAUAUUUAUAUAUGUAUAUAUAAUUUAUAUUAUUUAUAUAUUUAUUUUAUGUAUUUAUAUAUUAUUAAUAUUGCAUCUUGUAAUUCAUCAAAGGAUUUUUCAACUUGUGUGCCUUCGGACAUGCUUAUAGCCUACUGUUUUGGUAGCUAUGUGUAGGUAUCUUCUCCCUCACCCCAAUUAUACAUGUAGAUGCAGUUUAACAUGUGAGCAGGAACUGGGAGAGGGAAGAGUGAGAGUGAUGAGGUCUAGGCUAGGGACCACAGAGGUAGGUCUCAUGACUUAGGAGUGUUUAUACUUCUGCUAUUGACUCAUCAGGUGAGAAACAAAAUGUGUAAUUGUUAUUUUGCAGGGUCAGUGGAUUCUUGCAGGGUACCUCCUGUGGGAUUUUUUUUUACCAUUGUUUAGGAUUAAGAGUGAAUGUAUUCCAGCUUUAUCAUAUGACCACUGAAUGAAUGGCUUAGCGUUCAGAAAAUAUUUUAUAUCCUUAGCUAGAGGAUGUUUGUGCAUACUAUUUGAAUUCCUACAUGCUUGAAAAGAGUGUGAAAUAUACUGAAAUAUAAGCAAUGUAUUGGCAGUGCCAGAAUUCCCUGAAGCCAAGCACCAAGAAUCUAACUGUUUAGUGCCAAGCAGAAAAAAGACAUUUAACGAAGCAUUUAGGACUAACCUCACAGCCAUUUGUUAUGGAUGUCUUCUGUUUAACUACCUUGUCCUUGGGAUGCCAUGUACAAGGCUGUGGUGGAUUCUCAUACUCGAGCAUACUCUGGCAUCUGUAAGACUGGCUGCAUCAUGGCAGGACUCAGCAACAGCUCAAAGGUCCAAAAAACUUAAGGUCCCUCCCCUUAAAAUUCUUAAGGCAUUGAAAUCAUCACGUGGCGUGUAGUGAGACAUCAUGCCUAUACUGAACAGAUCAUAAUCUAAAAAAGUACAAGAAUAACCAGACACUCAGCACCUUACUGAUAGGAACCAGGUCUUUCAACUUCUUGCUGUAUCUGAUGAGUUUCUUUUCUGGUGUGGAUCAGCACACCAUUUACACCUAUAUAAUGUUUCCAUCAAUGCCAGAACCAGAUGCUGCUGAAGUGGGUGCUAGAGCUAUACUGUAAGGAGAUACAAGAGUAUCUGCCCACUGCUGACAUCUCUCCAGGAUAUCUAAUAUGGGUUGUUAGCACAUUGUCUUUCUCAGUAUUCCUCAGUUCCAAUUCUGGGCUCCACAGGGGACUGAGGGUAAAUCAGGCUGUCAGUGUGCAAUCAUCCACUUCCAGUUUUAACAUAUGGAUUUAGACAGGCAGACGAAUCUCCAUUUCAUCUCAUUAAAUGUGAUCCAGAUAGUGAUGUUGUAUUGGAGCUAACACAGCACAGCAGGGUGACCAUGAGUGGGAGUAAAGAGAGAUUAAAUGUAACGGAAGAGUCUAGGCUGCAUCAAAAACACCAGCAAGAUAGGUUCAAGGAAGAGAGUGGACUGAGUGCAAUGGCUCUAUUCCACACUGAGGCUUAACUGAAAUUCCUUUUUACAGCUUGCUGAGUAAUUUACUGUUCUGUUUUGUUAUUUGUGUGUAUUGUCCUUCGUGGAUGAGGUAAAUCAUGAACAUUCUUCUCCUGUAUAGCUUGUUUGUGAUCUUGAUAAUGUUUGUUUGUGACUUGAUAAUGUUUGAAGCUUGUUUGUGACUUGAUAAUGUUUGAAGCUCAGCACUUAGAUACAUUACCUUCAGCUCUGAAUGAUUUUGAAAUCUGGUGCCCUUUGCUGAAAGGCAGGUUGUAUCAACCACUGCUAGACCUGGGAAAAGGUCAGGGAGUUCUACCAUUUCAGAAAAACAAGACUGUAGAAAUGAACAAAUUUUCUUAGUCUGCAUUUAGUGAAGAAAGAUAAAUUUACAAGCUUCAGAAGAAAGUGGAACUCCACUGAAAGCAAGGAGGCUUCAGCUAAUUAUCUGUCUUCAGUAAAAUAAGUUCCCUCUUCUUUUUUACCACCAGAGCUUGGAGAUAAUUUGGUGGUGUCAUAUUGUUAAACAUACAGACUAACAAAGAAAAAACUAUGAAACCAAAAAGAUAGAUCAAGUGUUACAAAUUAGGUAUUCUGUACACCAAUUUGCUCAUUUAAUAAUAUGUUCCCUUUCAAAAGACUCAUGGUUCUUAGUUGAUAAGAAAUGUUCAUAAAACUCUUCCCAAAGCAACUUGUUUGACUAAUAAUAUAUACUGGGAUGUCAUUAUUAAAACACGUUAGUUGCAAAAAUCAUAGCGAUAGCUCGUUCACUUUAAGUGUACGGGGUAGUAAAUUAAUCUGAACAAAUUAAUCUUGGCACUGUUUGUUCUUCUGUGAAUAUGUAAGUAAACAAAGCUCAAAUUUAGAGGAGACCCUGUCUGAUUUAGGCAUUUUUAUUAGCUAUUUGUGAGAUAGGAAAAAAUAAUGAAAUCAAAUUCAUGCUACUGAAGUGUGUGGAACCAAAUCUGAUUGAGGCAUGGAUUUCUGUCUAGACGAAAAAGCUCCUUUUAUUCACAGAAAUAAGUCAAUGGCUAAAGACAAAACUGGGCUUCUCAAGAAUGAAUAAUUUACUAUUUUUCAGUAACUGGUAGACUUCACAGCAUAAAGAAAAAAACAUAUGGAGUGCAAACAAUUUUCUCAUGUAGACACAGUGUAAUCUUAUUUUCAUGAAUUUGUCUGGAAAUUAAUUCAGUCAUGCAAUUCUGCUAAAUUUGUAUGAAAGUGGUCUUGUCAAGGAAAAGAAGCAAGCUGUGGAACAUAAAACAGCAAUGUUCCUGGGAAAUACGUUGGUCUAUACAUGUAGAAAUGUUUAGGCAUUAGAGAUGAUAAGAUAGUGGCUUUAAAUUCGGUGUCCAGAUUCUGCUGUAUUAUGCUCAUGCAAGUCUGUAUCAUUAAAUUGAAUUGUUCUUCCCCUCUUCCCAACCCCCCUUUUUUUUAAUGGUGGAGUAUAAUUGAAACAAUAUUAUUUUUACCAACUUGGUUAGAAGCAGUUUAUAAAACUCUACAUUGUAAUACAGCUAUCCCAAACACUGGGACUAUGCAGGUCCAAUUUCGGACAGAGGCUUUUUGCUACUAAUUUAUGGCUGCUUCUUACUUGUGUUUCUC